UAUAAGUGUUUUUAACUAAAAUUAUUAUAAGUUAUGAUCUUUAAAAUUAAAAAAUUUGGCGGUAUUUUAGUCUAUUCAGAGGAACCUGUUUUUUGAUCGAUAGUCCACGAUGAGUUUUACUUUAACUUUAAAUUUAUAUAUCGUCGUUAAUAAAAAUUUUUGGAAAAUUAUAAUUUUUGGGAUUUUUUAUUAGAACUGAAUUCAGAUCAAGGUGUAGUUUAUGUUGAAGUUAAAAUGGGUUACAUUAUAUUUAUAUGUAGAUUUUUAUUUAAAAUUAAAUUUAAAAUGGAUUUGAUAGUAAAUUCUUUGUUUUUGAGAUUUGA
RNAcentral lists this ribosomal RNA (323 nucleotides) under Eleodes mutilata. RNAcentral describes it as "partial 12S ribosomal RNA". Lineage: Eukaryota; Metazoa; Arthropoda; Insecta; Coleoptera; Tenebrionidae. The record is from RNAcentral.